ACCAUUCCUCUAAUGGCGUUCACCAUUAUCGCGCAGUAACAAAACUGCGCUAGUGGGCAGUUCUGGACCGUUUUUUAUCCUCUAUUUCCCCUCCACUCUCCAUGCACGAUACAAGCAAGUAACCAGGUCUCAAAACCUCUAUAAAUAGGAUUGUGGAGACUUUUGAAGGUAUCCAAGUUGUAUGGAAGCGCUGCCGAAAUUGCGUUUUAGAAUUUAAGCAUAAAUUACCUGUAAAAGUGACAAUAACUCACAUCGAGGGAUUAUCACACCUGUUCUAG
This 278-nucleotide long non-coding RNA is filed under the name Lathyrus oleraceus (garden pea). RNAcentral's name for it is "Pisum sativum (pea) long non-coding RNA (PSAT_LNC016561)". The record is from RNAcentral. Lineage: Eukaryota; Viridiplantae; Streptophyta; Magnoliopsida; Fabales; Fabaceae.